CAAUUUUGGGUGUUUUCCCCCCAAAACUCCCAAAUUUGGGUGUUUUUCCCCAGGAAAGCCGGGCUGGGCUCGGGGCUCUCCCUGCAGCACCUGGUGCACCCCGAGCUCAAGGACGGAGCCCAACAGACCAUGCAGUGCCUGGAGCUCUUCGCCGAGACGGCCGAGGCGCUGCUCAUCAAGCACGGCAAGAGAAUCGUGGAGGAGCAGUUCGCCCUGAAGCGCGUGGCCGACGCCGCCAUCGACGUCUACGCCAUGGCCGUGGUGCUGUCCCGGUAAAUCCGGCAGAAUUCCCGGAAUUCGGGAAAUCCGGGAAUGCCGGGCCGUGAUUCGGGAAAUUUGGGGGGAGUUGGGG
This is a long non-coding RNA of Pyrgilauda ruficollis (rufous-necked snowfinch), 352 nucleotides long. RefSeq lists it as uncharacterized. NCBI's taxonomy places the organism in Eukaryota, Metazoa, Chordata, Aves, Passeriformes, Passeridae. The transcript has 3 exons. The record is from RefSeq and is a predicted model, not a curated record.